AUUGAACGCUGGCGGCAUGCUUUACACAUGCAAGUCGAACGGCAGCGCGGGCUUCGGCCUGGCGGCGAGUGGCGAACGGGUGAGUAAUGCAUCGGAACGUGCCCAGUAGUGGGGGAUAGCCCGGCGAAAGCCGGAUUAAUACCGCAUACGACCUGAGGGUGAAAGCGGGGGACCGAAAGGCCUCGCGCUAUUGGAGCGGCCGAUGUCGGAUUAGCUAGUUGGUGGGGUAAAGGCUUACCAAGGCGACGAUCCGUAGCUGGUCUGAGAGGACGACCAGCCACACUGGGACUGAGACACGGCCCAGACUCCUACGGGAGGCAGCAGUGGGGAAUUUUGGACAAUGGGGGCAACCCUGAUCCAGCCAUGCCGCGUGCGGGAAGAAGGCCUUCGGGUUGUAAACCGCUUUUGUUCGGGAAGAAAUCCUCUGGGCUAAUACCCCGGGGGGAGGACGGUACCGGAAGAAUAAGCACCGGCGAACUACGU
RNAcentral lists this ribosomal RNA (483 nucleotides) under uncultured bacterium. RNAcentral describes it as "partial 16S ribosomal RNA". It matches the Rfam family "Bacterial small subunit ribosomal RNA", at positions 28 to 506 of the family's 1533-position model. The record is from RNAcentral.